RNAcentral lists this RNase P RNA (357 nucleotides) under Tidjanibacter sp. RNAcentral's name for it is "RNase P RNA component class A". It matches the Rfam family "Bacterial RNase P class A". From Rfam's summary of the family: Ribonuclease P (RNase P) is a ubiquitous endoribonuclease, found in archaea, bacteria and eukarya as well as chloroplasts and mitochondria. Its best characterised activity is the generation of mature 5'-ends of tRNAs by cleaving the 5'-leader elements of precursor-tRNAs. The record is from RNAcentral. Lineage: Bacteria; Pseudomonadati; Bacteroidota; Bacteroidia; Bacteroidales; Rikenellaceae.
UUGCGUCGGGACUUCGUCGCUGCCCUAAUGGGGAGAGGAAAGUCCGGGCAACAUAGAGCACCGUGCUUCCUAACGGGAAGAUAUUCGUGAGGGUAUGGUUAAAGGUAACAGAGAAUAACCGCCUCCUUGUGAGGUAAGGGUGAAAAGGCGGGGUAAGAGCCCACCGUUCGCGUGGCGACACUGCGGAGACAGUACCACCUGCGGGUUGCAAGACCAUGUAUAUCGGCGCCUGAGGGCUGCUCGUCCGAUGCCGAGGGGUAGGUUGCUAAUUUUUAGUUGACGGGAGACCGGCAACAUAGAUAAAUGACGAAGACUUCUUACGAAGGACAGAACCCGGCUUAUACCUGACGCAAUUUU